CGCAUCUGUGCAUGCAGCAUAUCAAUAAGCGGAGGAAAAGAAACUAACAAGGAUUCCCUUAGUAACGGCGAGUGAAGCGGGAAGAGCUCAAAUUUGAAAUCUUCAAGGUUUUACCUUGACGAAUUGUAGUUUAAAGAAGUGUUUUCUGUUGAAGUUUUGGUAAAAGUUCUUUGGAAUAGGACAUCAUAGAGGGUGAGAAUCCCGUAUUUGACCAUUAUUUUCAGCUGUGUGAUACACUUUCAAAGAGUCGGAUUGUUUGGGAAUGCAGUCCAAAAUGGGUGGUAAAUUUCAUCUAAAGCUAAAUAUUGGCGAGAGACCGAUAGCGAACAAGUACCGUGAGGGAAAGAUGAAAAGAACUUUGAAAAGAGAGUUAAACAGUACGUGAAAUUGUCAAAAGGGAAGCGUUUGACACCAGUGUUGUUUUCUCGAAAAUCAAUUAAAAAGGAGUUAGAUUUUGUUGUGUAUUGACCUUAACAGCUUGCAUUUCAAUUUUCUUGCUUUUUUUAAUGCACUUUUCGUUUAACAAGUCAACAUCAGUUUCUUUUGUUGUAAAAAGGUCAGUUGGAAGGUGGCUUUCUUUUCGGAGAAAGUGUUUAUAGCCUUUGACUCCUGCAAUCGGAGAGACUGAGGUCUGCAGCGUAGAUCCUUCGGGGUUAGAUACAUUUGUGCUAAGUUAUAGCUUUUUAUAGACAACUUGUUGACUAUGAUUAGUCUUCGUAGCUUACUCGCUUAUGCUAUUUUACCUACGCUUAGGAUGUUGACACACGCGCGUGCUCG
RNAcentral lists this ribosomal RNA (777 nucleotides) under uncultured Neocallimastigales. RNAcentral's name for it is "partial large subunit ribosomal RNA". It matches the Rfam family "Eukaryotic large subunit ribosomal RNA", at positions 26 to 644 of the family's 3401-position model. Lineage: Eukaryota; Fungi; Neocallimastigomycota; Neocallimastigomycetes; Neocallimastigales. The record is from RNAcentral.